GGCCGUGUGGCGUAAUGGCAACGCGUCUGACUACGAUUUGCUAUCAGGAGAUUGCAGGUUCGACCCCUGUCUCGGUCA
Molecule: transfer RNA, 78 nt
Filed under: Armillaria nabsnona
Lineage: Eukaryota; Fungi; Basidiomycota; Agaricomycetes; Agaricales; Physalacriaceae
Also listed under: 1 other name
Description: tRNA-Arg
Rfam family: tRNA
About the family: Transfer RNA (tRNA) molecules are approximately 80 nucleotides in length. Their secondary structure includes four short double-helical elements and three loops (D, anti-codon, and T loops). Further hydrogen bonds mediate the characteristic L-shaped molecular structure. tRNAs have two regions of fundamental functional importance: the anti-codon, which is responsible for specific mRNA codon recognition, and the 3' end, to which the tRNAs corresponding amino acid is attached (by aminoacyl-tRNA synthetases). tRNAs cope with the degeneracy of the genetic code in two manners: having more than one tRNA (with a specific anti-codon) for a particular amino acid; and 'wobble' base-pairing, i.e. permitting non-standard base-pairing at the 3rd anti-codon position.
Source: RNAcentral